GGGCCCGUAGCUCAGAGGGUAGAGCAGCCGGCUCAUAACCGGUUGGUCGCAGGUUCGAGUCCUGCCGGGCCCA
This 73-nucleotide transfer RNA is filed under the name Acidobacteriota bacterium. RNAcentral describes it as "Acidobacteria bacterium (hot springs metagenome) tRNA-Met". It matches the Rfam family "tRNA". Rfam says of the family: Transfer RNA (tRNA) molecules are approximately 80 nucleotides in length. Their secondary structure includes four short double-helical elements and three loops (D, anti-codon, and T loops). The record is from RNAcentral. Lineage: Bacteria; Pseudomonadati; Acidobacteriota.